Molecule: ribosomal RNA, 230 nt
Filed under: Alcaligenes faecalis
Lineage: Bacteria; Pseudomonadati; Pseudomonadota; Betaproteobacteria; Burkholderiales; Alcaligenaceae
Description: partial 16S ribosomal RNA
Rfam family: Bacterial small subunit ribosomal RNA
Source: RNAcentral
CUUCACACGUCAUACAAUGGUCGGGACAGAGGGUCGCCAACCCGCGAGGGGGAGCCAAUUCAGAAACCCGAUUGUAGUCCGGAUAGCAGUCUGCAACUCGACUGAGUGAAGUCGGAAUCGCUAGUAAUCGCGGAUCAGAAUGUUGUGGUGGAUACGUUCCCGGGUCUUUACACACCGCCCGUCACACUAGGGGAUUGGGUUUUACCAGAAAUCGGCAGCGACGAACAAGC